This 253-nucleotide ribosomal RNA is filed under the name uncultured bacterium. Its description in RNAcentral is "partial 16S ribosomal RNA". It matches the Rfam family "Bacterial small subunit ribosomal RNA", at positions 524 to 776 of the family's 1533-position model. The record is from RNAcentral.
GACAGAGGGUGCAAACGUUGUUCGGAAUUACUGGGCGUAAAGCGCACGUAGGCGGCUUUGUAAGUUAGAGGUGAAAGCCUGGAGCUCAACUCCAGAAUUGCCUUUAAGACUGCAUCGCUUGAAUCCGAGAGAGGUAAGUGGAAUUCCGAGUGUAGAGGUGAAAUUCGUAGAUAUUCGGAAGAACACCAGUGGCGAAGGCGGCUCACUGGCUCGGUAUUGACGCUGAGGUGCGAAAGCGUGGGGAGCAAACAGG